This 2771-nucleotide long non-coding RNA is filed under the name Triticum aestivum (bread wheat). Its description in RNAcentral is "long non-coding RNA (TAES_LNC002792)". The record is from RNAcentral. Lineage: Eukaryota; Viridiplantae; Streptophyta; Magnoliopsida; Poales; Poaceae.
AUCACAACACAACUCUAAAAGUAAAAUAAGUAAUACAAGCAUCAUAUUACAAGCCAGGGGCCUCGAGGGCUCGCAUACAAGUGCUCGAACGUAAAUGAGUCAGUGGAAGCAACAAUAUCUGAGUACAGACAUAAGUCAAACAAGUUGCCAUAAGAUGGCUAACACAAACUGGGAUAAAGAUCGAAAGAGGCGCAGGCCUCCUGCCUAGGAUCCUCUUAACUACUCCUCUAAGCCGAACUCCUUGUAGAACCAUCCUUAGGAUCCUCUGGCUCCUGGACUCCAACAUCUGGUUGCGGCAACUGGGAAGAAAGGAAAAAGGGGGAAAAGAGGGAGCAAAGCAACCAUGAGUACUCAUCCAAAGUACUCGCAAGCAAGGAUCUACACUACAUAUGCAUGGGUAUAUGUGUAAAGAGGCAAUAUUGGUGGACUGAACUACAGAAUCCCAGAAUAAGAGGGGGAUAGCUAGUCCUAUCGAAGACUACGCUUCUGGCAGCCUCCGUCUUGCAGCAUGUAGAAGAGAGUAGAUUGAAGUCCUCCAAGUAGCAUCGCAUAGCAUAAUCCUACCCGGCGAUCCUCCCCUCGUCGCCCUGUGGAAAAUCAAUCACCGGGUUGUCUGUGGAACUUGUCUGGGUGUGUUUAUUAAGUAUCCGGUUCUAGUUGUCAUAAGGUCAAGGUACAACUCCGGGUCGUCCUUUUACCAAGGGACGCCUAUUCGAAUAGAUAAACUUCCCUGCAGGGGUGCACCACAUUUCCCAACACGCUCGAUCCCUCUCGCCGGACACACUUUCCUAGGUCAUGCCCGGCCUCGAAAGACCAACACGUCGCAGCCCCACCUAGGCACAACAGAGAGGUCAGCAUGGCGGUCUAAAUCCUAUGCGCGCAGGGGUUUGGGCCCAUCGCCCAUUGCACACCUGCAUGUUGCAUGGGCGACCGGUGAGCAGACCUAGCAACCUUCAUUGCAAAGGAAGUUGCGUUAUGCGGUCCAACCCGGCAUGUGCCGCUCAGUCACUGAUGUCAAGAAGGCUUCGGCUGAUACCACGACAUCGAGUGCCCAUAACUGUUCCCGCGUAGUUGGUUAGUGCGUAUAGGCCAGUGGCCAGACUCAGAUCAAAUACCAAGAUCUCGUUAAGCGUGUUAUUUUGAAGUAACCGCGGAUGCCGACCAGGGCUAGGCCCACCUCUCGCCUAGGUGGUCUCAACCUGCCAUGUCGCUCUGCCACAAAGUAACAGUCGGGGGCCGUCGGGAUCCCAGGCCAACUUCUACCGGGAUGGAUCCACCUGUCCUUUCAGCCCCCAUAUCCGAAUCACUUGCGGGUACUCAACGAGCCGACCUCACUUUAGUCAUCAACUAUAUAAUAUGUAUAUAUGUAUAGUAUAUACCCGUGAUCACCUCUUGAGUGAUCACGGCCCGAUAGUAUAGCAAGGCAGACUGACAAGAAUGUAGGGCCAAUGAUGAUAAACUAGCAUCCUAUACUAAGCAUUUAGGAUUGCGGGUAAGGUAUCAACGACUGUAGAAACAAUGAUAGGCUAUGCAACAGAAUAGGAGUAACCAAACAGUAACAUGCUACACUACUCUAAUGCAAUCAGUAGAGAGAAGAAUAGGCGAUAUCUGGUGAUCAAGGGGGGGGCUUGCCAGGUUGCUCUAGCAAGUAGGGGCCAUCAACUCCGUAGUCGAACUAGGGUCGCUGGCAGUCUCGAGGCCUACUGGAAAGAAGUAACGGAGGGGGAACAUAAUAAAUAACAGAGCAAUCAAAGCAUCGCAAAGCGUAACAUGGCAAUACGCGGUGCUAGGUGUGCCCUAACGCGAUAGUAGGUGAUACUGACGAAGGAGGGAAACAUCUGGGAAAGUAUCCCCGGUGUUUUGCGUUUUUGGAUAGAUGAACCGGAGGUGAAAUGUUGCAUGUUUUCUAUGCUAGGGACGCGUGGCUGACAAACGGGUUGCGCAUUCGAAUUUGUCUAGCCGUUCUGAGCAACUUUCAUGUACAAAGUUUUUCCAUCGGAGUAACGAAUUAUUUUAUAUUAAUUUUGAAAGCUUUAAAUCAUUUUCUAAAUUAUUAUUAUCAAAUUAAUUCGAAAUUAGUAUUAUUGCAUCAGCAUGACAUCAGCAUGACAUCAGCAUUCAACGAAGGUGUUGAUUGGGUUGCUGACAUGUGGGUCCCAUCUGUCAUUGACACAUUGCCCUAACUAACAAAUUAGUUAGUUUAAUUACAUAUUUAGGUUAAUUAAGUUUAAUUAGUUGAACUAAACAUGGUUAAUUAAGUUAAUUAAUUAAUUAAUUAAUUUAAGUAUUAAUUUUUUAAUCUUUUUUUAAAACGUUCCGGGGUUGGGGCCCCCUUGUGAUAGGCCCCUGGGGGACUAGCGGGUCGUGGGCGCUAGCGAAACGGGCGGCGGUGUUGGGCGCCCGAACUGGGCGCGGCCAGUCGGGGCCACGGCGAGGGGGAACGCCGGCGUGGCAGCGGCGAGGUGCGCCGGGCAGGAGACAGCAGGGGGGAAUAGCCACAGGCAGACCGGUUGGGGAGGCGGCCAUGGUGGAGCAGGGGCAGCGGGAUGGUGCGGGGUGGCGGCGGUCGUGAGCGGGCAUCGGAGUGCGUGCGGCGAGGGGCGCAGGUCGCGGCCACGACGGCAUGGUGCACGGGUGCGCGAGCAACCAAGGAGGGGAGGGAGGAGGCAAGCUCACGAUGGCGACGAGUCAGGCGAGGCGGGCGUGAGGGAGAGCGGUAGAGGAGAUGGGGGAGCUCACAGUAGGAGUUGUAGGGGCACGGGGCAGCAGUG